AACAGGAUUAGAUACCCUGGUAGUCCACGCCGUAAACGAUGUCUACUAGCUGUUCGUGGUCUUGUACUGUGAGUAGCGCAGCUAACGCACUAAGUAGACCGCCUGGGGAGUACGGUCGCAAGAUUAAAACUCAAAUGAAUUGACGGGGGCCCGCACAAGCGGUGGAGCAUGUGGUUUAAUUCGACGCAACGCGAAGAACCUUACCUACUCUUGACAUCUAGCGAAGAUUGUAGAGAUACGAUUGUGCCUUCGGGAACGCUAAGACAGGUGCUGCAUGGCUGUCGUCAGCUCGUGUUGUGAAAUGUUGGGUUAAGUCCCGCAACGAGCGCAACCCUUAUCCUUAGUUGCCAGCACGUAAUGGUGGGAACUCUAGGGAGACUGCCGGUGAUAAACCGGAGGAAGGUGGGGACGACGUCAAGUCAUCAUGGCCCUUACGAGUAGGGCUACACACGUGCUACAAUGGUACGUACAGAGGGAGGCAAGCUGGCGACAGUGAGCGGAUCUCUUAAAGCGUAUCGUAGUCCGGAUCGCAGUCUGCAACUCGACUGCGUGAAGUCGGAAUCGCUAGUAAUCGCAAAUCAGAAUGUUGCGGUGAAUACGUUCCCGGGCCUUGUACACACCGCCCGUCACACCAUGGGAGUGGGUUGCAAAAGAAGUAGGUAGCUUAACCUUCGGGAGGGCGCUUACCACUUUGUGAUUCAUGACUGGGGUGAAGUCGUAACAAGGUAACC
RNAcentral lists this ribosomal RNA (731 nucleotides) under uncultured bacterium. RNAcentral's name for it is "bacterial SSU rRNA". It matches the Rfam family "Bacterial small subunit ribosomal RNA", at positions 771 to 1501 of the family's 1533-position model. The record is from RNAcentral.